CGAUGAUGCCCAGCUUGCUGGGUGGAUUAGUGGCGAACGGGUGAGUAAUACGUGAGUAACCUGCCCUUGACUCUGGGAUAAGCCUGGGAAACUGGGUCUAAUACUGGAUACUACCGUCCAUCGCAUGGUGGGUGGUGGAAAGGGUUUUACUGGUUUUGGAUGGGCUCACGGCCUAUCAGCUUGUUGGUGGGGUAAUGGCUCACCAAGGCGACGACGGGUAGCCGGCCUGAGAGGGUGACCGGCCACACUGGGACUGAGACACGGCCCAGACUCCUACGGGAGGCAGCAGUGGGGAAUAUUGCACAAUGGGCGGAAGCCUGAUGCAGCGACGCCGCGUGAGGGAUGACGGCCUUCGGGUUGUAAACCUCUUUCAGUAGGGAAGAAGCGAGAGUGACGGUACCUGCAGAAGAAGCGCCGGCUAACUACGUGCCAGCAGCCGCGGUAAUACGUAGGGCGCAAGCGUUGUCCGGAAUUAUUGGGCGUAAAGAGCUCGUAGGCGGUUUGUCGCGUCUGCUGUGAAAGCCCGGGGCUCAACCCCGGGUCUGCAGUGGGUACGGGCAGACUAGAGUGCAGUAGGGGAGACUGGAAUUCCUGGUGUAGCGGUGAAAUGCGCAGAUAUCAGGAGGAACACCGAUGGCGAAGGCAGGUCUCUGGGCUGUUACUGACGCUGAGGAGCGAAAGCAUGGGGAGCGAACAGGAUUAGAUACCCUGGUAGUCCAUGCCGUAAACGUUGGGCACUAGGUGUGGGGGACAUUCCACGUUUUCCGCGCCGUAGCUAACGCAUUAAGUGCCCCGCCUGGGGAGUACGGCCGCAAGGCUAAAACUCAAAGGAAUUGACGGGGGCCCGCACAAGCGGCGGAGCAUGCGGAUUAAUUCGAUGCAACGCGAAGAACCUUACCAAGGCUUGACAUUCACCGGACCGCCUCAGAGAUGGGGUUUCCCUUCGGGGUCGGUGGACAGGUGGUGCAUGGUUGUCGUCAGCUCGUGUCGUGAGAUGUUGGGUUAAGUCCCGCAACGAGCGCAACCCUCGUUCUAUGUUGCCAGCACGUGAUGGUGGGGACUCAUAGGAGACUGCCGGGGUCAACUCGGAGGAAGGUGGGGAUGACGUCAAAUCAUCAUGCCCCUUAUGUCUUGGGCUUCACGCAUGCUACAAUGGCCGGUACAAAGGGUUGCGAUACUGUGAGGUGGAGCUAAUCCCAAAAAGCCGGUCUCAGUUCGGAUUGAGGUCUGCAACUCGACCUCAUGAAGUCGGAGUCGCUAGUAAUCGCAGAUCAGCAACGCUGCGGUGAAUACGUUCCCGGGCCUUGUACACACCGCCCGUCAAGUCACGAAAGUUGGUAACACCCGAAGCCGGUGGCCUAACC
RNAcentral lists this ribosomal RNA (1364 nucleotides) under Kocuria sp. RNAcentral's name for it is "bacterial SSU rRNA". It matches the Rfam family "Bacterial small subunit ribosomal RNA", at positions 67 to 1440 of the family's 1533-position model. The record is from RNAcentral. Lineage: Bacteria; Bacillati; Actinomycetota; Actinomycetes; Micrococcales; Micrococcaceae.